AAAUUGAAGAGUUUGAUCAUGGCUCAGAUUGAACGCUGGCGGCAGGCCUAACACAUGCAAGUCGAGCGGUAGCACAGAGAGCUUGCUCUCGGGUGACGAGCGGCGGACGGGUGAGUAAUGUCUGGGAAACUGCCUGAUGGAGGGGGAUAACUACUGGAAACGGUAGCUAAUACCGCAUAACGUCGCAAGACCAAAGUGGGGGACCUUCGGGCCUCAUGCCAUCAGAUGUGCCCAGAUGGGAUUAGCUAGUAGGUGGGGUAAUGGCUCACCUAGGCGACGAUCCCUAGCUGGUCUGAGAGGAUGACCAGCCACACUGGAACUGAGACACGGUCCAGACUCCUACGGGAGGCAGCAGUGGGGAAUAUUGCACAAUGGGCGCAAGCCUGAUGCAGCCAUGCCGCGUGUGUGAAGAAGGCCUUCGGGUUGUAAAGCACUUUCAGCGGGGAGGAAGGCGGUGAGGUUAAUAACCUC
RNAcentral lists this ribosomal RNA (471 nucleotides) under Klebsiella pneumoniae. RNAcentral describes it as "bacterial SSU rRNA". It matches the Rfam family "Bacterial small subunit ribosomal RNA", at positions 1 to 469 of the family's 1533-position model. Lineage: Bacteria; Pseudomonadati; Pseudomonadota; Gammaproteobacteria; Enterobacterales; Enterobacteriaceae. The record is from RNAcentral.